Molecule: long non-coding RNA, 558 nt
Organism: Odocoileus virginianus texanus
Lineage: Eukaryota; Metazoa; Chordata; Mammalia; Artiodactyla; Cervidae
Source: RefSeq, a predicted model, not a curated record
GCCACAGUGAGGGAUCAAGGAGGCCUUGGAACUUGUGUGCAGUCCUCCCCCGACAGGUAUCACAGCUCCCACCCCCAGAAGUUGAAUACCUGUUCCUGGGCCGCCUCUAUCCUCUACCUGCCGCAGGUAUGAACUUGCCUUCAGACACGUGUCCUUGGACCCUAUGACCAACGCUGGACUCGCAGUUCACACAGGGAGGAGGAAAGUGCAGAGAGAAGCAGGCUUAACGGGAACAUACCCACUGGAGGCACGGAACACACAUGUGCCUGGAGACCACACGUGAGCACUCCGAGAUGGGAACACCUGGAACGUCAAUCAUAACUAAAUAGAUCGCAGUAUGUUCAUUCAGUGGGACGCUCCACAGCAGGGGUUGACAAACGUGUUCUGUAAAGGGCCAGGGAGUAAAUAUUUUCCGCUUUGUGAGCCAUAUGGUCUCUAUCUCAGCUACUCUGCUCUGCUGUUGUGGGGGCAAAAGCAGCCAUAAAUGAGCCAUGAAUGGAUAGGCAUGGCUGUGUUCCAAUAAAACUUUAUUUAUGGACACGGAAAUGGGAACACAGU